Non-coding RNA from Gossypium raimondii (Peruvian cotton), 125 nucleotides. The record is from Rfam. Lineage: Eukaryota; Viridiplantae; Streptophyta; Magnoliopsida; Malvales; Malvaceae.
AAUUGGGAAAUGACAAAUCAGAUUUUUCCUCCUGAUUUUCAAUUUUUUUUUCUCCUGACAAAAUUCAAAUCCAACUAAAAAUGCUAAAAAUCAGGAGGAAAAAUCUGAUUUGUCAUUCUCAUAUU